Molecule: ribosomal RNA, 400 nt
Filed under: uncultured Pseudomonas sp.
Lineage: Bacteria; Pseudomonadati; Pseudomonadota; Gammaproteobacteria; Pseudomonadales; Pseudomonadaceae
Description: bacterial SSU rRNA
Rfam family: Bacterial small subunit ribosomal RNA
Source: RNAcentral
CUUACCUGGCCUUGACAUGCCGAGAACUUUCCAGAGAUGGAUUGGUGCCUUUGGGAAAUUUGACACAGGUGCUGCAUGGGGGUUGUCAGCUCGUGUCUUGAGAUGUUGGGUUAAGUCCCGUAACGAGCGCAACCCUUGUCCUUAGUUACCAGCACGUUAUGGUGGGCACUUUAAGGAGACUGCCGGUGACAAACCGGAGGAAGGUGGGGAUGACGUCAAGUCAUCAUGGCCCUUACGGCCAGGGCUACACACGUGCUACAAUGGUCGGUACAGAGGGUUGCCAAGCCGCGAGGUGGAGCUAAUCCCACAAAACCGAUCGUAGUCCGGAUUGCAGUCUGCAACUCGACUUGCAUGAAGUCGGAAUCGCUAGUAAUCGCGAUCAGCAGACGCUGAUCGCUAC